AAUACCCGCUGAACUUAAGCAUAUCAAUAAGCCGGAGGAA
RNAcentral lists this ribosomal RNA (40 nucleotides) under Pyricularia oryzae. RNAcentral describes it as "partial 28S ribosomal RNA". The record is from RNAcentral. Lineage: Eukaryota; Fungi; Ascomycota; Sordariomycetes; Magnaporthales; Pyriculariaceae.